GAUGAAGAACGUAGCGAAAUGCGAUACGUAAUGUGAAUUGCAGAAUUCAGUGAAUCAUCGAAUCUUUGAACGCAUAUUGCGCUCUCUGGUAUUCCGGAGAGCAUGCUUGUUUGAGUAUCAGUAAACACCUCAACUUCCAUAUCUUUUUUGAAAUGGGAGUUGGACUUGAGUGAUCCCAACGCUUUUCCUCACCGAAAAGUGGCGGGUUACUUGAAAUGCAGGUGCAGCUGGACUUUUCUCUGAGCUAUAAGCAUAUCUAUUUAGUCUGCCUAAAAAACAGAUCAUUACCUUUGCUGCAGCUAACAUAAAGGAGAUUAGUUCUUGUGCUGACUGAUGCAGGAUUCACAAAGACGGCUUCGGCCGACUUUGUAAACUCGAUCUCAAAUCAAGUAAGACUACCCGCUGAACUUAAGCAUAUCAAUAAGCGGAGGA
This 432-nucleotide unclassified non-coding RNA is filed under the name soil metagenome. RNAcentral's name for it is "partial contains 5.8S ribosomal RNA, internal transcribed spacer 2, and large subunit ribosomal RNA". The stretch from base 1 to 120 matches the Rfam family "5.8S ribosomal RNA", at positions 35 to 154 of the family's 154-position model. The record is from RNAcentral.